AUCCAGAUGAUAAGUCCCGAAUAGGGCGAAGUGUGCAUCCUGGAU
RNAcentral lists this non-coding RNA (45 nucleotides) under Trichobilharzia regenti. The record is from RNAcentral. Lineage: Eukaryota; Metazoa; Platyhelminthes; Trematoda; Strigeidida; Schistosomatidae.